Molecule: long non-coding RNA, 24546 nt
Filed under: Coffea arabica (coffee)
Lineage: Eukaryota; Viridiplantae; Streptophyta; Magnoliopsida; Gentianales; Rubiaceae
Description: long non-coding RNA (CARA_LNC006063)
Source: RNAcentral
AGGGAUAUGUUUAUUAGUGGAACUACAACCAGUGUAUUAUUGUUUUACAAUAGAACCAAAUGGGCAAGCAUUUGGAGUUUCCUGCACAUAUUUAUUUAGGUACCCAGACAACAUGAUCCUCGGGAAGGAAAUGGCAAACAGGAACUUGUCCUGGCUUGAUCUGCAGAACUUUGAAAGCCAAGUGUUUUGGGUUCCAUUUUGUUGUAUCUUCAUGGCAUACUGCCACUGCUUUAACUUUUGUUCCAUCUGCACCCACCAAGGAAAGUGUAUAUGCUCUAGUAGCUUGUGUUUUGUGGCAGUAAAAUACAGCAUAUGCAUAAUUUUGCUGGUGGCACACUACAGCUUUGUCAUUUGUCAUGUUUUUCACUCCUGCAAUGGUAUAUUUCUGCAGUGGAGUAUCUUUCUCUGAAUUUGUUGAUAUCGCCUGAACGUUCUUCCCCAGUUUGGAGGUGGUGAAAUCUACCAUUGCUUCCAAUGAUGUUGCACAGAACUUCUCCUCUCCCUGGAUGCCUGGCUCCUCGCACUCUUUUAUUGUAUUUUUCAUAACUUCAGCUUCCUGUGAGUUGGGCUUCACUGAGAAUUUGUUCAAGAUUUCAGUCAUUUUGUUUGAUGAGAAAGGAAUUGAUUCAGCAACCUGGCGAGGUAAGAAAGUGGCUCCAUGUGAAGUCUUGAAGAAAUGCAAGUUCAUCUUUGAUCCUCGAGUCAUGUUAUUUUCCAAGAAGAAAAGAGCUACAUUUGGGUUGUCAUGGAGCUGAUCCCUGGUUGCUGCGUAGUUAUACAAGAAUGGUGAUGUCCCUGGCCUUCCUCCCACAUAUACUGGUUUCCCCCUGUGGUGGCCUGAGGAUACGGUUACACCUCCACCAUGCCCGACAUUCACAUUGGUGCCUUCAGGAUUUCUGCCCUGUGUCUCGGAACCUCCUGGAUCCCCCGGUCCAACAUUCACGUUGGUGCCUCCUGGUGUAUUAACACCUACUCCACCAGGCCCGACGUUUACAUUGGUGCCUCCUGGUGUAUUUACAUCUACGCCACCGUGCCCAGCAUUCACGUUGGUGCCUCCUGGAUUUCCACCCUGAGUAUUAACAUCUACUCCACCACCACUUACUCCGACUGAAGUACUUUUAUCAUCCACCGUUUCUGCCAUAACAAUCAGUUAGCAUGAACACACGGAUGAAUAUACUAUUCAUACCACCUUAUAAGUAAUUUAAUGUCUUAUUCUUUCUUUCUUUAGAUAGGAUUAGUUUUCCUUGUGUAAGAAUUGUUAAAAAUCUACUUAAUCCUUUUCAUGUACCGGAUUUGCCAAUUUUUUGCUAAAAAAAAGGUAAUUUAAUGUCUUAUGCUCUGUAGUAGUAUUUAUUCUAGAGUUUGCUGACUCGUUCCCUUUUAACCUUUGUAUCACUGUUUAUUGCCUAAGCCUAAUUUGUGGUUUCUCGAGAACAUUACUGGCAUGUAGAAACAUGAAAUGCAUAGAGACAAAAAAGCAUUUUGUUUUUGAAUAACAACAGUGAAAGAACAGCUUUUAGGUUUGAGUCUGACCAGAUUGUAUAAGAUCCUCGAUAGCUUUCGGCAUAGGACUGUUAGGGAGCACAGAUUUCCAAUAUGUCUCAGCAGGUUGUGCUGCGUGGCUUGACACACAAGCUAGCUGAAACACACAGACGAACAAGUGAACAUUUUAUUGGAAAAGGCGUAAAAGAGAAUACAUUUUAUUGGCAAAAGCGUAAAUAAUUGAUACAAUGUUGUACUCACAGCAACAAAGAUGAAGAGAUGUAGGGGUCGAAACUCCAUUUUGUAAGAGACUGGCCGCCAAGGGAAGUGUAAACAGAAGUGAAAUUUUAUGAUAGAUGUGAAAAAUGAAACCACAACUUUCUUGAAGAUAAAAGGCAACAACUAUAGUGCUAUUUAUAGCCGAAUGUGGGUUCAGGGUAAAAUGUCAGCAGAUAAGCAACAGAUCAUCUCUACUGAUGACUUGUGCUCUAAUCACUUCCAACUGUGGCUUAAACGCAUUAAUGCCAAUUGAGCCAAAUGUAUCAGUGAGUUACAUGUGUGAAGUUCUGCGCGUUUGUGUGUGAGAUACAGAUGCCUGUUUCCUAAUUGCAUACGCAAACGAUAAUCCUGUCUGGUCUGAUCUGAUAAUGGUCAAUCCUUACUUGAUCAAUGCUAUCAGACAAAGGGUUUCAGCUGGAAGUUGAGAGCUCAAGUUUUAAGCCUUGCGCUUAUGGCAAUCUGGCGUCAUCUUUAUCGAUUAGUUUUCUGGCCAUCCCAACUCUCUCAUUGGUUUCUUUUUCUAGCCGUCCUCCCUCUUUUUCCGACCCUCUCUUUCUCUCAAACUCUUUCUUAUUUCUUCUCUCCAACCGCCACCCAAAGCUCUCCUCUUUCCUGGUUUUCUAUCAACCCAGCUGUCAUCUAUUCUUUUCGUUUCUUUCUCUUGCCGUCCCCAAAACCUCUCUCUAUCUCUCAAAACCUAGCUAUCAUUCUAGAUUCAUCCCCCCCUCCAGGUGUCCUAGACACCUGGCCUUUUACAGCUCCAAAUUUCAUCUCCAGGACCUCUUCCAAUCUCAUUUGCAAGUUGCGGCAAAAAACGCAGUUUUCUGCAUUGCCGUGACUCUUUUUUUUUUUUUUGAAAAGUAAGAAAUAAUUUUAACUAAAAUAAAUAAAAAUACUAAAAAAAAUGCCCAAAACAUAUUUUUGUGAACAAAUUCUUUUCUUACAAAUUUUAUGCUAAAAUUCUUAUAAAUAAAAAUAAACAACUAAAAAACAAAAACAAAAUAAAACUAAAAAAUGAAAUAAAAGACAAAAAUAAAUUAAGAUGCUAUAAAAAUACUAGAAAAUGCCCAAAACAAAAAUUAUGAAACUAAUAUAUAUGAUUAUCACUAAAAUAAAAUAAAAAUAAAAAAAAUAAAAAUUAAAUAAAAGUAAAAUAAAAUCGUUCAAAAUUUUGGUGUCUACACCCUCCACUCGCAGCAUCAAUGAUAUUCCUGUAUCUGAAGAUUAGUCCCUCGUAAAAAUAUUGUAUGAGCAACUGCUCACUUAUUUGGUACUGAGAGCACUUGAUGCACAACUUCUUGAAUCGCUCCCAGUAGUCGUAGAGUGACUCCUGGAUGCUGUUUGAUACCACAGAUCUCCUUUUUAGACUUAGUUGACAUGCUCAAUUUGAUAAGUGUGUCUUCCACGAGUUUUCUGGCAGCUGACGGAGCACAUCUCAAGUUCGUUUCAGUUAGAUUUUAGUUGAUGAGUUUUGGAUGAAACAAUUGCUAAAAAAGGCCUCCUCUUUGUUCAGUUAACUUUAUUUCCUCUGUAAUCUCAGGACUCAUGAAGCUGUUUCAGAGAACACAAGUCUGCUACUCACACAUGAUCCAUUUUAUCAUCUAUUAAUGGUUGUUGGGCUGAUAAUAGUGCAGUUUAAGGAAGGGAAUUUGCGUUUUUCAUCCUGCAGACGGUCAAGAGUUGGAGAUGCUAUUCUUUUGAAGGAGCGGUUACUGAUGCAUAAUUCUCAUGACUGCAUGAUCCAAUUGAGGAAAAGCAUCUCUACAUUCUAAGGUUAGUCCGGAUUGAUCUAAACUAAAAUAUUUUAAGGUUAGUCCUGAUUGAACUAAAGCAUGCUAAAAUGAUUGAACAGACCAUUUAAUGUUGUAUUAAGAAACAUGUCUUUUUGUCUUGGCCUUGAGUGAAUGGUGUAUAGGCAUGUUCUAUCUGAAUUUUAAUUGUGGGAAGGUUCUCUUUCCCUUGCUGAUUGAAGCCAGCCCAAUGUUAAUUAACUUGAGCUGGACAAGUGCUAUCAAGAGUUUAUUGUUGUUCUUUUUAGUAUGAUAACAAGGCUCCGUUAGAGUUCUAUUCAAAAUUUGUUGUCGUGCUAAAGCAUUGGCUGGAGGGUUCUUAACUUUAUUGCCAAAUUAUUGAAAGCCAUUUGUUAAAGCUUUUAAGGAAUUAAGUGGUUUUUCUGUUGAAGAAUAUUGUUGCAUCUCAUAGAUGACUAAAAUGGAAGAUUCAGAAGAAAAUUCCAAGGAUGCUGUGGUGGCAGUAUGAAUGGAUAUUGCAUGGAAUGUCUUGCACAAAGUAAAGAUCUCGUAUAUGCAUUGUCAGAGCAAUAUCCCAACCACAAUCUCUAGCACAAUUGAACUUAAGAUGUUUAAGAUGAGAUGGAGUGGGUAUGCUGGAUUAGUUUCAUCGGUUGUUUCUUUGAGAUUCACAGGUAACAUUUGUCAAACUGAAGAAUAUUUUAGUUAUUACAUUGACAUGGCCUGAAGAUGAAGGCUCACAGUACAAUACUUCCUGCAUAUCAUGCUUAUUCAUCUAGGAUCAUCUUGGAGGAUCAGGUGGCCACUAUUUAAUUUUUCAUUUGUUGCUGUUUUUUGCACUCUCGUGGUUUCAAAAUGCAUUCUAAAAACACUUCUCACAUCGCAAGGACUUCUUUUAUUUAUUUUCUCUGUUCCAUCACCUCAUUUUUUUUCCUUCUUUCUGUAGUUCUUGAUUCUGUUCGUUAGAAAUCUAUUUUCAGUUGCCCUAGGUUGCUUUUGGGUUGGGCAUUUGUAUUUCAGGGAAAGAUGUGAGGAGUGGUUUUGAAAUCUUUGUUCUUGUUGUCUUGUCUUUAAAGAAAGACGCCUUACAGUGGUUUGUUAUUGGCUGACCCACCAUACCAGCUCCAUAAGUACUCGAAUGAAAUUACUUCAGAGGAGGACAUGAGAGCCGUACCUUACAUAAAGAAACUCACUCACUAUCUGACAUAUAUUCUAAGUAUAGAAUCUAAUACUCAGAUGUCUUUUAGUAUAGCUGGUCAGACUACAUCCUGAGUACAGAUAAUAGUUGUAAUUGAUUUCUUUCUUAGUAGACAUUUGAAUAAGAAAAUUUCUUAAUGAAAGUUAUCCACUCCAAGUUACUAAAGACUUGAAAGUAACUUGUCAAUGGCCAAUUUAUGAUGGAUAUUUGACCACCUUACUGGAACUGCUGAAGUCUUGAUGGUUUAUGAGGGAUGCGAAAUCCACAAUAAGGAGGCCAUUCAGACACUAGCAGUGGAUUUGUAGUUGUCUGAAACAUGCUACUCUGAAUCUUCUAUCUGAGGAAAACCAUCUAUGUUUGUUGAAGUGAUAUUAAACAGUCUUAUACUAAAUCCGUCAAUUAUUUUUGUUUACAGUUACGUGGUAGGCAUUUAACUUCAUCCUCUACUCUGUUGCCAUCUCUAAUCUAUACUGAGAAUUGGAUUUUGUCAAUUAUUUUGCUCAUAACUGAUGCUAAAAGACCUUUAGUGCAAUUUUAUUCCUGUGCAGGGGAAGAUUAUUUGAUUUGUAAUUAUAGUAAAAAAUGAUUUUUUAAUCUGCAUUGUGCUACUGAUAAGCACUUGAAGGAUUUGUUCACUCUGAAAUCCAAUCAAAGGAAGAGAAGUCUAAACUUUUGAGUAACUAAGAGGGAUAUGUUUAUUAGUGGAACUACAACCAGUGUAUUAUUGUUUUACAAUAGAACCAAAUGGGCAAGCAUUUGGAGUUUCCUGCACAUAUUUAUUUAGGUACCCAGACAACAUGAUCCUCGGGAAGGAAAUGGCAAACAGGAACUUGUCCUGGCUUGAUCUGCAGAACUUUGAAAGCCAAGUGUUUUGGGUUCCAUUUUGUUGUAUCUUCAUGGCAUACUGCCACUGCUUUAACUUUUGUUCCAUCUGCACCCACCAAGGAAAGUGUAUAUGCUCUAGUAGCUUGUGUUUUGUGGCAGUAAAAUACAGCAUAUGCAUAAUUUUGCUGGUGGCACACUACAGCUUUGUCAUUUGUCAUGUUUUUCACUCCUGCAAUGGUAUAUUUCUGCAGUGGAGUAUCUUUCUCUGAAUUUGUUGAUAUCGCCUGAACGUUCUUCCCCAGUUUGGAGGUGGUGAAAUCUACCAUUGCUUCCAAUGAUGUUGCACAGAACUUCUCCUCUCCCUGGAUGCCUGGCUCCUCGCACUCUUUUAUUGUAUUUUUCAUAACUUCAGCUUCCUGUGAGUUGGGCUUCACUGAGAAUUUGUUCAAGAUUUCAGUCAUUUUGUUUGAUGAGAAAGGAAUUGAUUCAGCAACCUGGCGAGGUAAGAAAGUGGCUCCAUGUGAAGUCUUGAAGAAAUGCAAGUUCAUCUUUGAUCCUCGAGUCAUGUUAUUUUCCAAGAAGAAAAGAGCUACAUUUGGGUUGUCAUGGAGCUGAUCCCUGGUUGCUGCGUAGUUAUACAAGAAUGGUGAUGUCCCUGGCCUUCCUCCCACAUAUACUGGUUUCCCCCUGUGGUGGCCUGAGGAUACGGUUACACCUCCACCAUGCCCGACAUUCACAUUGGUGCCUUCAGGAUUUCUGCCCUGUGUCUCGGAACCUCCUGGAUCCCCCGGUCCAACAUUCACGUUGGUGCCUCCUGGUGUAUUAACACCUACUCCACCAGGCCCGACGUUUACAUUGGUGCCUCCUGGUGUAUUUACAUCUACGCCACCGUGCCCAGCAUUCACGUUGGUGCCUCCUGGAUUUCCACCCUGAGUAUUAACAUCUACUCCACCACCACUUACUCCGACUGAAGUACUUUUAUCAUCCACCGUUUCUGCCAUAACAAUCAGUUAGCAUGAACACACGGAUGAAUAUACUAUUCAUACCACCUUAUAAGUAAUUUAAUGUCUUAUUCUUUCUUUCUUUAGAUAGGAUUAGUUUUCCUUGUGUAAGAAUUGUUAAAAAUCUACUUAAUCCUUUUCAUGUACCGGAUUUGCCAAUUUUUUGCUAAAAAAAAGGUAAUUUAAUGUCUUAUGCUCUGUAGUAGUAUUUAUUCUAGAGUUUGCUGACUCGUUCCCUUUUAACCUUUGUAUCACUGUUUAUUGCCUAAGCCUAAUUUGUGGUUUCUCGAGAACAUUACUGGCAUGUAGAAACAUGAAAUGCAUAGAGACAAAAAAGCAUUUUGUUUUUGAAUAACAACAGUGAAAGAACAGCUUUUAGGUUUGAGUCUGACCAGAUUGUAUAAGAUCCUCGAUAGCUUUCGGCAUAGGACUGUUAGGGAGCACAGAUUUCCAAUAUGUCUCAGCAGGUUGUGCUGCGUGGCUUGACACACAAGCUAGCUGAAACACACAGACGAACAAGUGAACAUUUUAUUGGAAAAGGCGUAAAAGAGAAUACAUUUUAUUGGCAAAAGCGUAAAUAAUUGAUACAAUGUUGUACUCACAGCAACAAAGAUGAAGAGAUGUAGGGGUCGAAACUCCAUUUUGUAAGAGACUGGCCGCCAAGGGAAGUGUAAACAGAAGUGAAAUUUUAUGAUAGAUGUGAAAAAUGAAACCACAACUUUCUUGAAGAUAAAAGGCAACAACUAUAGUGCUAUUUAUAGCCGAAUGUGGGUUCAGGGUAAAAUGUCAGCAGAUAAGCAACAGAUCAUCUCUACUGAUGACUUGUGCUCUAAUCACUUCCAACUGUGGCUUAAACGCAUUAAUGCCAAUUGAGCCAAAUGUAUCAGUGAGUUACAUGUGUGAAGUUCUGCGCGUUUGUGUGUGAGAUACAGAUGCCUGUUUCCUAAUUGCAUACGCAAACGAUAAUCCUGUCUGGUCUGAUCUGAUAAUGGUCAAUCCUUACUUGAUCAAUGCUAUCAGACAAAGGGUUUCAGCUGGAAGUUGAGAGCUCAAGUUUUAAGCCUUGCGCUUAUGGCAAUCUGGCGUCAUCUUUAUCGAUUAGUUAGUAGUUUUUUUUUCAAGUUUUUGACGUAUGGCUUCAAUCCUGCUCUUAAUGUGGCUGACAAACUUGAAGUAUAUCCAAAGUGAUUUGCUAGUUUUACUAAGCUUAGCUACAGGAUUUGGAUGAUCAUCUUUCAGUCACAGAAGAAUGUCAAAAAAAUCACAUAAACGUAUUAUGCAUACCUAUUAACUACUAUUUUUAUACACAGAAAGCCAUUAACUAUUUUCAUACUUUUCUUGCUUGCAAGUUUGAAAGGAAACUGUUUGGCGUUGUGAAAUUAUGGUGCAUAUCCAAUCCCGGUUUUCUUGUUAUGGUAUAACUUUUUUAUUUUAGCAUAAAUUCAAGAUAGAUCCAAUUAUAUAACCGUAUUUGUCAUGAACAUUUACGUUUUCGCUUUUUAUUACUCAUCGUUUUAGUAGAUAAUAAGUAAGGAAUGAAUCCGGUAUUAUUUUUUCUAACACCAAAUAGAAAAUUGUUCUUUUAAAACCGAACAUUUUACUUUCCCCAACUUCGGACAACACAUUUUGUGAGCUGUUUAAUCAAAAAAAUUGUUUCUCUCGAGUAGACAAAAAAAAAAAAAAAGAAAGAAAAAACACAAAGUCCUUUAAUGCAGUAUAUGUUCUGAUUUUUUUGACACAUUUUGCCGACUUUCAUUAUUGUAAUAACAUGCUGCAAUAAAUGUGUCACUCAAAUUCAAACAGUUUGUUGGUAGCUGGGGUGGUUGUUAUCUCUUAUACCUUCAAACCUCCUGCCUGUAUUCAAUACUGCCUAGUACUUUCUUAAGCACUGCAAUUUGUUCUUUUACUAUUACUAUUAAAAUUUCAGUAAUGCAGAAACUCUAGAAUGUAUUUGUUACACUUAUCCGUACAUGUAAUGAACACAUUCUACACCCCUUAGAUUUUUUGAAGGUAAAAUCUUGUUUAUAAUUCAAUUUUUUGUAAUAAUAAAAUGACAUCUUAGAAAAAAAAAAUAAUAGAACGACAUUUUUUUUAUCUUUGUCCUUUGAUUUUGAAAUAUUCUGUGGAUAGUGGAGAUUUUUUGUCUUAUUUAACUAAUUUUUAUCUUUCGAUUAGCUUUGACCAUUAGUGUAAGUGGCAAAUUAAGUUGUUUUGGGACCAAAUGUUAAAAGGGAUUUACGCUCAUUUACCAUUGACUAAAUACUUCCUCAAACUAAACUUUUCAUCUUCUUGCAUUAGAAGGCAAUGAAAUUUGAGUGGAAAAAUUCCUUCCCCUUGUAUUUUCUUAACCGAGAUCAAGUUGAGAUAGGCAAAUUAACCAUAGAUUGUUAAGAAAAUUUUUUUUUUAUUCUGUACGUAGUCCAUAUAUUAAAAACUAGAAGAAACUUCUGCAAAAGGACUCCACGUAACUAAAAUUACUAAAGAGACUAAUAUGCGAUAAUAUGAUAGGUGUCUGGUUCACAUCUGGUGUCUACUCUGGAAACCAUAUUUCAUACAGAUAAUUUUAAGGACAAAGCUGCAGAAGUACACAAGUAUUUCAGGUUUUAGCACUCAUCUUAUCUAUAUGAUCAGAACUUCGAACCCCAAGCUGAAGCUACCAUGGAACGGAACAUAAAUUAAAGACAACUCGAAAUGGAUAAGACUAAAGUAAAGGAGGGAUCUCAAGGAUUUUCUUCACAAAUUCAGUUCUUGGGAACCCAAACAACAUGGUCCUCAGGAAGGAAAUGGCAUAUUGGAACGGUUCCUGGCUUCACCUUUAGCACCUGGAAAGCCAAAUGCUUUGGGUUCCAUUUUGCUGUAUCUUCGUGGCAAACAGCCACAGCUUUAGCUUUCUUUCCAUCCGCUCCAACCAAAGUAACCUCAUAUGCUUCGGUGGCCUGCGUGGAAUGGCAGUAAAAAACUGCGUAGGCAUAGUUUUGCUUGUGGCAAACCACAGCCUUAUUAUUGUUUAACUUCUUGACACCCACAAUACCAUAUUUCUGGGCUUUGGUGUCCUCUUCUGCUUCUGUGGAAACCGCCUGAACAUUAUUUCCUAACUUGGACGUGCUGAAAUCGACCAUGGACUCGAGGGAAGUUGCACAGUAUUUGUCCUCCCCUUUGAUUCCGGGCUCCUCGCACUCCUUUAUCGUAUUCUUAAUAGUCUCAGCUUCGACAGAUUCCGGCUUCACUGAGAAUUUGUCGAAAAUUUCGGGUAUGUAUUUGGAUGAGAAAGGUACGGAAUCAGCAACCUUGCGAGGCAAGAAAGUUGCGGGAUUUGAUGAUUUGACGAACUGCAAAUUCAUGCUUGUCCCGCGGUGCAGAUCCUUUUUCAAGAAGAAAAGGGCUACAUUUGGAUUAUCAUGGAGUUGAUCCUCGGUGGCUGCAUACACGUAGAUGAAUGGGUUGCGACCUGGUGUUACUCCAACAUAUACUGGAUGACCCUUGUGGCCGGUGUGGACGGUAACGCCUCCCUUUCCGACGCCGACGUUGGUUUGGGGCUUUCCGGCGGUUACUCCGACGCCUCUGUGACCAACACCAACAUUGGUGCCGCUGCCAGCGGGCUUUCCUUUCCCAGUAUUGACGUUUACUCCUCCCUUUCCUACUGCAACUGAAGCGCUCUUGUCUUCCAACCAUUCUGGGAAAAUAUCACUUAAUCUUCAUACAUAGCAAGGUCAUUGAAACUAAAACCUCAUUUUAUAAUUCCAUAUACCAAUUCUUUUGCAUAGAAAGGCAUAAUAUUCUCAGUUAUAAUAGAUGGAUUGAGGCUAGUGAGGAUUAAUCAAAAAGUUUUAGAAUAGAGGGUACAAAGGAGAAGAUAUAGCUAAUUAGUAAUCGGAAGGUUGUAAUCGGAAGUAUCUUUUAGUGAUCUUUUAAGUCACAGUACAAAGUAGAAUGGUGCAAUUGAUACACUUACUAUAUUUGCGAAAGAAGAUUGAUUUCACUUUCUAGCUUUAAAUUCUCUACUAGAAAAUUUUUUGUUGGAAUUCAGUUUCCAUCUUUCACUCACAAUUUUUCCACAUAGUAAACUGGUGACAAAACAUCAUUUUGUUGACAAGAGCAAUUGCAACUCUGAGCAGCAUGUGUACUUAUUCAAAUAUUAAAAAAAAAAAAAAGAAGGAAGAGGAAUAGUAACAGAAGAAAUUCCUUGUAUCUAACAUUAUUUAAAACUAGAAAAUGCACAGCUAACCACUCAAGCACUUAAUAUAGGGGUCACCAUCAACUAUUUCUGGUUAAUGUUUUAUUUUAUUUUUUAUGUAUAAGUCACCAUCUACUAUUUAAUUCAGAGAGGACACCAUCAGCUAUUAUUUGAAGUGGUUGCUGGCUACUAAAUUACACAAUUGAUGAGCAGUACCUGGAGAAUUUCUGUAUAUGAAAAUUCACUUUCAGAGGUAAAACCACUCUAUUGCACUUAUGUUGGUGAUUAAUCUUGGAAAGAAAUUAGAAAGAAAGAAACUAAAAUGGCAGAGAGAGAGAGAGAGAGAGAGAGAGAGAAUCCGUUUUCAUCUUUGUCAAAGAUGACAAAUUCAUUUCUAGUUUUGUGAAAAGCAUUUGUAGUGAAGCUCCAAAAGUUCUAAAAUUGUAUAUCUAAGCGUUUAAGCUUUUGAACUUAGUGAGUGCCAUUUAAAUUAUUGCCAUGCUUCGACUAUAAAUAUACUAUUCAAAUUGUAUCAAGUCAAAAUGAUGUUUUUGGAGUAUAAAAAUCGUUGGCAUACUACCACCCACUAAUCAUAAUGCAUAUAUAUCCUUCAUACAAGCACAAGAAACGAAAAUUGACCCAAGGAAGACGAACCACUGUGUAGAAUGUCCCUUACUGCCUUUGGCAUAGGAGUGUUUGGCAGCUUGGAUUUCCAAUAAAUAUCAAGAUCUGCAUGGCUUGCUACAACUGCCAGCUGACAUAAAUUAUAGUACAAAGAAAAAUGAUCAGAAAAGUAACAGGGAUUCCCAGAGAAGUUAAUUAGCAAACAUUCAAUAUUGUUCAUGGAAAAAGAGAAGUUUCUACUCACGGAAAGAAAUGUACAAAUGUGGAGGAGCUUGAGCAAUUCCAUGACAGUUUGGACAAAAACAAAACACAGGGCAGAGUGGUUGGAACUGAGACGGACUUUUAAGUGGUACUGAAGGGCAAGAUGUACAACACAGAGUAAAUUGGCAUCAUUAUUUAUAAGCGAACAUUAUGAAAAAUUAGGUGCUUGAGAAAAGCAACGUAUCACCUAAAUUGAUGACUAGUUUAAUUGCUUCAACUGUCUUAGGCUUUUGGCCAUUCAAUGCUAUGAAGCCACAUGUGAAUGUGGGGUACAAAUUAAACACGGAUGGACGAUAUUCGUACAAAUUUGCCAGAAAGUUGUCAGUCAUAUAAUCUAGUUCCGUUCUCAAGGGUUAGAGCCUUAAAGGGGGACAAGAAAUGACUAUAUGGCAUGUCUAGCGUCUUCCCCCUGCUCAUCACUGAACCAAGGGAUGAUAGAAUGGGACGGCCCUUAUUGUGUUGGACUUUUGAAUCGUCCAGCUAAUAACAAUCAACCACCAAAUUUAAUAAGGCUAAUACUUAACCCUACUAAUUUGAACUCUGCAUGCAUGCUGCGCCACGUAAAUUUUUGUACCAUACGUAUCUUCUGAUUGGAAAUUGGUAUGUUAGGGACUUUGGCUAGAAGCCCGGAAGCCUGGUCCAUGCAUAUAUCGAUUAGUCCAUUUCAUGGGACUCAUUUUGAUAUCUAUGGCACAAUAGACGUCUCAAAGUUUUCAGACGCAUUGGCUACCUGGUUUUUAUUGUCAGUUUUUGGAAAUGUUCUCUUAUUAUGAAUUUGAAAUACAUCUUUAUUUUUCCAACAAUCUUUUUACAUCAAAUACUUCUCAUCACAAACGUAGUACAGAUAAUAUUGCUUUUUAGGAACACUACUAAGAAAUACAACCCAAGUGCAAAGGAUGCAGGACUUUUCUUGUUCUGGAAAACUCCUACUACUUGGCAUAAUUUCAGUUUACUACCUAGAACCUGUUGUUGCAUCUUUGUCUUUCAUUUGGACAUACUAUCUUUUAAUAUUUCCAAAUAUCAUCCUUUUUGCUCAAUUCUCAAGAACAAUAUUUGCACACGAUGCUCUCGACUGAUAGAUACUUCCAUCAUCAUUGAUUGAAGAUCGCAUGGUGGAGUUAUGCUAAUUCAGUUGGCAUUGAAUCAGCAAAGAUAUAUAUACAUUUUUUAGGGGUACAAAUUAAGAGAUAACCAUACAAUUACGACAAACUGUCCCACAAACUUGGGGGAGGUUCCCAAUCACCACUGACCCUAUUGGUCAAGUGGUAAGACCACGAGCCAUAUUGGCCAGUUGCUGAGAACUCAGAAGUUGGAACCAAGCCGUACCAAAAAAAAAAAAAAAGAAGAAAAGAAGUUGGAACCAAUGGGGCAUGGGGAAGUGCAUUCGAGCCUUUAAAGCCACUUCCUGGCCAACUCGCCACCAAUAUUCAAUAAACAUGUGAAAACUCAUUUUCGCAGUUACUUUAAGGAUGGCAAACUAAUAAUAAUCUGACUUAGUUUGUUGAUAAAUACUAAGUAGUAGUAUAAAGACAAAAACAAUUAGUGUAAAGACAGUAGGUCCAAAACAUACGUAAAUUCGAUUAGACCAAGUUUAACCGUCCAGAUUAAAUUAUGUUUUCCACCAAUAUGAUUUAGCAUGUAUUUUACCAUCAUCAUGUAUCUAUAGUCAUGAAAUUACUUCAACACAUUUGGUGGUGCUAAUGUAUAUUUAGGAAAUGACUGUUAAUGAAAUUCGUAAUUCGGGACUAGCCAUUUGUUGGAAUAACACAUCGUGGUGACAUAUAUGACAACUUACUCAUUGCAGUAUUAAUUAAAUCCAGUACUCUUUCAUGAGUUUUCAAGUACCCUACCACUUAUUUCUUGGUAAUGAGAAACAUCGAAAAAUGUCUUUUGAGUAGGACUUGCAGCUAUCCAUCGUAUUCAAGAAGUUAAUUCUAGUAGGCUGCUAAGUGGAAAGAACAAGUGCUCUGUAUAAAGUAUAAACAGCAUAUCAGUAUGUGAGGAAUAAUUUAACCAAUCAUAUUUUUUGGGCUCCCUGACUAGUGAGUUGGAGCAACAAACAAAAUAAGUUGUACUUCCUCCUUCUCACUUUGAUGGUCUUGAUUUUUAUUUUUCACACAGUUUAAGAAAAAUUAGUUAAAUUUGUUGGAAAAGUAAAUCUAACCUUCUGUUUUUCUAAAAUAUCCUUAUGUUAAUAAUAUUAGGAAUAUGACUAAUCAUUAAAUCUUUACAUUAAUUACAACAACAAUACUGAUUAAAAGUUUACCAUUCAAGACAUGAAAUCAAAACAAUUAUUGAAUAUAGUGGACUACACUCACUGAUGACAAAGUACAUUAGACAAGGAUAUUUUUAAAAAAGUUAACAAUUAACUAUUCUCUUUAAUCAAAAAAUGAAUUAUAAUUUGAGACAGAUGAAAAAGGAGAAUAAGACUGUCAAAGUGGGACAAAAGGAGUAAUAACUAAGAGUUAAUUUUGAAUGAUCAAUCAUCUUUCAAUAAUUAAUGUGCAGCUGCCGAUUGGGCCAAAGUAGUCAAUUCAUAAUUCCGGAUUUUUAAGAAUCACAAGUCUAUUUUAUCACCAAAAAAAGAGACAAAUAGCAGUACAAGCCUCAAGGGAGUCUUAUAGUGUGUUUGAUAAAACUGAAAUAUAAAAACUAAAGUUUGAAAUCUGAAAUCUGAAUACAUUAAAUUAUUCAAUUGUUAAGUAUUAAGAUUGCGUUUGAUAAAACUGAAUCUGAAUUUUGAAGUCUGAAUUCUGAAAUUUGAAUACUGAAACAAUUAAUUUGCUGAAUUUUAAACACUGAAAAGAAAUAUAUGAAUGUCUGAAUUUUAAUACUAAACCUAUUUAUACUGUUUGAUAAAUUUUUAUAACUGAAUGUUUAAUAAGUUUAAUUUGACAAUUUUGCCCUUAUAUCUUUUCAUUCAAAAAAGAAUAGAACUUAUGAUUUAAUUAACUUAAAAUUGUUCGGUAUGAAAAUGACAAUAUUUAUUUUUAAAUCAAAUUAAUAUAAAAGAUGAAAUAUAUUAUAUGAGGAGUACGGAGAAGAUGUGAAAGUCAUUAAAAAAGGGAGAAAAGAGAAACUGAAAACCGUUAGAUAGAGAAAUUAGAUAAGAAUUUUAAACAUAAUUAACAAACAAGGGUAGAUUUGGUAGAUAAGAUAAGAUAGUUGAAAUAAUUCUAUUGAUUCUUAUCAGAAUUAAGCAUUCAGUUAGGAUUCUUGUGUUGAAAAAAAUACACACAAGUUUAGCAGAUAGAUUUUCAGUUAUCAAACACUCAAAACAUCUGAAUGUCUGAAAAGGUUUAGUUUUAGCACUUUUUUAUGUUAUCAAACUGAUCUUAAAUCUAAUAUAUUUAAGUGCAUAUCAUAUUCAGUGAUAAAGUGAAUAAUUUAUUACUUAAUUUUGGAAGCAAAUUUUACCUAGAAAAUUCAGAGCCACUUAAUUAAUUCAGAUGUUCAAAUUUUUGUUGUCAACCGAUCUGAAUAUGUUAAGAUCUGAAUUCAUUAAGUUUAAGUGCUGAAUUGAGUUAUCAAACAGAUUAAUAUUCGGAUAAUGUCGUGUAAUUUAGGUACAACUAACAUGUUAUUUCGAACAAUACUAAGUUUUGUCAUUUCACUAUCACAAAAUUGUACAAGUAAUCUGUGUGGAUAAUUGUUACUAAAAUUUUAUGCUGAUAAUCAGUCCUACCCAAGCUCAGAUUUCAACACAGGAAAGAUGUUUGGACCUACUCUUUGUCGGACUAGGGCCAAUACGGUUGUGAUUUACACAAUUUGGUUCAGUUGUUAUAUAUAUUUAGAUUUGUAAUGUAUAAGCUAAAUAUUUUAUUUAUGUACAUCACUUUUUUCACAAAUAUAACAAUGUAACGUAGUUGUACAUCAAAUAAUGUUAAAACUACAACAACCGGACCAAAUUGUAUGUAAUCCCAACCGGCUCCUUUUUCACUCUCGUCACACUUGUAAACUAUUGAAUAAGAUUUUGCUGCAUGCCUCUUUGGUUUCCACAGCCUUUUUUUUUUAUAAAUUUAUUAUUUAUUUAUUUUUCUGUGCACGAGUUUCUACAACCCUUUUGAAGUUUGGAUUGACAUUUGAGACAAGCAUACUAGGAUAUCUGGUAACAUCACUUAAAGUUAGGAAUUUUAAUGCACAGGAAAUUGGGUUAGCGUAUACGGAAUACGAUGCGGAGUUCUCGAGCACGAGAUCAAUGUUAUAACUCACCCGCUUGGGUGAAUAAACCUAUGCUACAGAGCUAUGGAUUCAUUUUAUUUUUUUUGGUUGCCUGCCACGGUAUCCAGGGCUUUGCCCUGACUAAUCCGUUGGUCGACCCGGGUCGCACACCUGGCUGUGGUGGGUGAGUCUCCCAACAAGGGUAGCUGCAUACGCCAGGUUUCGAACCCGAGACCUUGCUUAAGCGGAACCAAGCUGCUUACCACUUGGCCCAACCCCAGUUGGUGGAUUCAUUUUAUUAAUUCUAGCAUUGUACACAAUGCACCAAAGCUUUCUUUCUAGUCCUAUUUUGAUCCUUUAUUUAAUCGAUCGUGUUGAGAAAAUUAAUAAGUUUAUACAAGUGAAGGCCAAUAUACAGUUUCUCAGCAAGUCAAGAUUUUUUUUCCCCCAAACUCUAAUUUUUAGACAUAUUGUAGCACUAGUUUGGUUUUAUUUAUAGACUUUAUAGAAAUGUGAAAGGUAACCCAGAAGACAUGUAUCGCCUUGGUCAAUUUUAUUAGUUUAAUUUUGUAAAAUAUUAUAUUAUUUCUACAAUGACGAACAUUUUGCUUAACCAACAAAAGGAUAAGGCAUGUCCAAUAGAGGAACAGAGCACGAUAUUGAUUUAGGUGUUAUUAACAGUGAAUGGCAAUUAUUCACAAGUGAUUUACUAACCGAUAAAUAAACCUGGUUAACUUUUUAUUCAUAGUAGUAAUGUUUUGAACUGUUUAAUGAAUUAUAGAUAACAUGAUUUAAAAGUUGAUUAUAAGAAAACAGACUACAAUGUUCAUGCUCGAGUACUAAUGAUGUCAUAAUAGUUGUUGGUUAAUACACUUUCUUUUAUAUCUUAUUGUAUGUCCAACUCAUUUUGUUACCAUCGACUUAUAUACUUAUAAAUGAUGUAUAUAUAUAGAAACACAGAUAGAAAAUGAUUUAAAAAAUAAAUUUUUAAAAUUUGACAGUGACGAGGUGUACCACAUAUUAGAUAAAAAUUUAAACAUGUCUACUGCACGCAACAAAGUUUGUAGCAAUAGACAAAAAACAAAGUUAAAAAGUUUAAUGUGUCCAAAGAUUAGAAUUUAGGUUUGCAAUAUGCAAAAGGGUAAUAAUUAGGGGUACAAAGUGAGAUUUAACUUGCUCACUAAUAGAUGUAUGUGACAGGUUGUUGAAUCCUGUGCAAUAAUAAAACUUGCUCAAACUAAAAGUAAUUUCUGUAGAUAGCGGUGAGCAGGGUCGAAUCCACAGGGACCGGAAGUAAUUGUUUCUUUUCAAGUUCACAGUGACAAGGGGUAUUUUUAUAUCAGGGGUGACAAUUUAAGCAAUUCAACUAAAAGUAAAAUAAUAAGAAUAAAAUAGCCAACUAGAAAUUAAAUAACAAUUUACUAAAAUCAAAAGAUCUAGCCAAAGAAUAACUUCAGCAAUGGUUCACCUAAUUGAUCAUCGAAACAAAGGCAAUUCCAAUUAUUUACUAAUAAAUAGGUUAUAACUGCCAAACAAGCGAUGCCAGUCAACCCCUCCUUACUGUGUCGGUGAUUAAGGUACGCCCGUUAAUCACUGUUCUAAUUGAGAAAUAAUCUUAGGUACGCCCAUAAGAUUUAAUUCCCCAAUUGCCUUACAUAUUAGAGGAGCCCUAUUCUAACCAAAUAACACACUACCAGGGUUAUUUUAGGUUAGCCCGGGUAUUCCCCUGACACAAACCCAAUCAUGCCAGUUGUCACUAUUUUGAGACAAUUAAACAAUUACGGAUUCAACGUCCCAAUUGACAAUAGAUUAUCAAAUUAACUAAUUAUCCGGAUCCAAGACAAUCAAUUAAUUAAACAAUCAUAAGUACUGCAACCAAGGAAUAUGCGAAUAUCAAUAAAUAGAGAAAAAGAUAAAAUUAAAUCGAUCUCAUAAUUUUAGAUGACCCAAAACCUCCGUUGCUCCUUGACUAGAGUGGAGAAAUUAAUUCAUGUUUAAUGAGAACAAAACGUACGAAACUGAAGCAAAAGCUGCGGCCAUCUUUUGUGUUUGGGAGAAAAGCCACGGGAAAAUCAUUCAAUUGCACCUAAUUGCUCCUGACAUCCCAGGAGACAAAAACUACUAAGAAGCCUCCAAGGAAAACAUUAAAAACUAAGCUUCAGUAGUGCCCAAAAGAAAAGUCAAAGCUGAAACUACUAAGCAGUCCUGCCAUGCGUGAGAAAGAAAAAACCAAAGGAACACUAAGCUAAUGGAGAUAAUGAUCCCCCGCUGCUCAAUCCAAUUCCUAUCUAAUGGUCUUCCCUUGUGCGACGGCUCUCUCCCGAGAGGGAGAAGAAGACUAGCCCUGUGUUUCUUUUUCUUCUUUUUUUAUACUGUCUUCCGCCCUCAUCAGCAAUUACCAAGAUGGGAACAAAUUUUCCUUUGCCAACUAUGCCCCUCGAAUAAGCUCUAUGACUUGGACUCUUUUUUCUGUCAAAUUGACAUUUGUUAUCAUAUUUCAUUCUACUCCCUGAAAUAAAUGUAAAACACUAAAAGUGAGUAGAAUUUAACAAUUAAUUCACCUUGGGUCAGGUAAUAGGGGAAAUUAACAAUAAAAUAAAUGAUAAAAUUGCAAUCUAUCAGUAUGGGUGGGUGUGUAUGCACAAAAACUAUGUUAAUCUUCUUAACACUAUUAAUACUUAGACAUAAAUGGGAUAGAUAUGAAACUUUGGGGCUCAAUGUGUCCAAAAUUGAUUUUUUUUGGUUCAAAAAAAAAAAGUUUGGAUACAUUCAACUUCAGUCACUACCAUGAGUCAAGGCAUGCCACAAGAUUAUAGGUCACUUAUAAGUAUUCUUGCACAUAACUAACCAACAUAACCCUCAUAUUGGUAGUUGAAUUCAAAUACACGAUCUUAUUUGAGAAAAUAGUUCAUUCAUACCAAUUAAGCCAACUUAGCUUUGGCCAAAAUUGAAAUUGAUAGUACGUGCAAAAAAGAGUUAUAACAUAUUGCCAACAUUGCUAUGAACUAGUCGUGUGUUUUCACAUAAUUGGUCAGAUGUAACAUCUAUUCUAUAUAUAAAGUGGGAGGAAGGUAGCGCUGUUGGCGAGUCGAGCAACUCACAAGUAACUCGUGAGUAGCUCGGUCAAAUGCUCGAUUUGAAUUUCAUUUGAUUGAAUUCGAGCUCGAACUCGAGUAGUUCAAUGCAUAUAUAUCAAGUUGAGUUUGAGCCUCUAUUUGUGCUACUCGAGUGCUCAUUAAGUAACUUGAUUAUUGAUAUAUUAUUUAUAUUAUAUUUUUUAUUUUAAGUAUGAAAUGACUAAUAAGGGUUUAUGUUUUAGAUAAUUUGCCAUAAGUGUCGUCCACUCAAGAAAAUUCAUAAAUGAAAAAAAUGUAACAUUGUAAAGACUAGAAAAGAAACAAGGAUUUUAGAUAGUUUACCAUAAAUUUUUUAUCCUUUUUUUGAGUUUUAUUUCGAGCCCUUGAGGUUAAGGCUCGAGACUAAACGAGUCGAGCUCGAUUUUAGAAAUGCAUAUUGUUGAGUCGAGUUGAGUUACUCAAUUUUCUGCUCGCUUGAGCCAAGCUCGAGCUCGAGUAGGCUUAUAUAGUAUCGAGUUCGAACUCGAGUAUAGUACUAUUUGAAUUCAAUUCGAUUCGACUCGUUAACACCACUAGAGGAAAGGGGUUGGUAUAAAUUCUUUUGUCACUUUUUAAAUUUUCAGUUUUAUCCUCACAAAAAAUAAUUUUUUCUAAUUAUCUAAUUAUAUAUAACCAACAUGAUUUUCACCAUAACUACCUAAAAGCAUAUUACCAACAUGACUACCAACAGACAUAACCACCAAGAUAGUUAAUAAUUUAGUAGAGAAAAUUUUAUAAAAAUUAAUUUAUUCUUAAACUGCACGCAUGUGUGUGUCCUUGGCACUAGUGUAUGCCAAACUCUUAAUAAAGGGUGAUUACUACUUUGAUAGGGCCAGGACCAAUGCGCUAUAACAAUUUCAUAGACGGUUCUCUCGCAAAAUUAAAGGUGACGGUUAGAUUAUCAAACUGCAGCUUGCGUAUCUUCAUUCAUACAGUUGUUACAAUGGAUACGAAGAGAAAUUUUGGGUUAGUUUUUCAAUUUUAUUCUUUUCUUUUGAUGUGAACUCUCGAAGCUCUCAAAGUAUUGUUACCGAGCCAAAUUGAAUUUUAUGACCAUACUGACCCGCAAUAAUAAACAAUCUGUUGCCCGAUAAAGCCACCUCAUGUUUAUUUGCAAAAUGAAGUUUAAGAUAACAAAAAAAUAGUGAGAUAUCAGAAGAUGGUCCUACUUUGGAGGGCAUUCCACUAAUUAAUGACACAUACUACCCAUCUUCACACCUACUUUGGAGGUUACUCAAACUGAUAGAAACUUCGGGUAUUUCUCCUGAUGUGCAAUCUGAAUUCUUUCUGUUUUUUUGGGUGUAAUCUGAAUUCUUGUUCGGUCAUAAAAAAGAUUUUGCAUUUGUUAGCUACUAUGAAAUGUGGUAGCUGUUUUUCCCUUAGACCGAGAGAGUCAUGUAUAAAAGGAGAACACUUGUUAAAAAUGAAACACAGACAUUUAUAGUUGAUUUGACAUGAAGGGAAAUAUUCAAAAAAUGGAGAAAUAAUAGAAAAGAAAUAUUAAUUUCAUAGGUUCUUUAAAAGAUGUAAAACAAAACUAUCACUUCAGCGUUAGUAUUGAAUAUUUUCCCUACAGUACAAAACAGAUAUAUAUAAAGCAACCAUUAAUGAGGUGGUUUGCCGGUUUACAUGCAAAUCAUAUUAUGUGUUACCUCUUAAUCUGCUGAGAAUUGACAAUGACUUCAUCAAAUUUGGGCCACUUUCUUUUUAAACAAUAACAGUCCAGAUUAAUUAUGUGUUGGGGUGAUGUUGCUUAUAACAAAUUGACAAUUUGAACACCAUAGCUUGCUACAACAUGGUAUUUUAAAACCAGAGCUGAGGAAGACCAAAAGGGCCCCUGUUUCUUUGUUCGGAUGGUAGGUUAAUUAUUUUUCUGAGUAUCUUUCCAAAGUUAUUAUUGCAGUGGUUUUCUCUGGAUAAAUUUACAUUGUUUGUUGGAAAAAAAUUGUUGAAACCUGUUUUGAAGUUUUUGAUAACAACUCCAUGCAGAUGGUCUGUUUCGUUUUAGUUAGGUCUCCAUGUUUAUAAAUAAUGUCAAUUUAAUACAUGAAUUAAGUAUAAAGGUUUUAUGCAUUGAAUUAUUAGUUAACAAGAUAGGAAGUAGAUUGACAACGUCUGAAAAUCUAUAGACUGGUUUUCUAGUUAUAUUUCACUUGUGUAUUUAUUUUCUUGUAGAACCAAAAAAACAAAAAAAAUUCUUGGAUAUUCUUGCAGAAUCUUACACAAAAUUAAGAAGAAAAUUCUUCUUGUCUUCUCACGACAUACAAGAUAGAUGAACUUCAUCCCAAUCCAAAAACUAGUAAAUCUCUGUUGAAAAACUUAAGACAAGUUUGAGUCUUUUGACCUAUUUUCUCCCAAACUAAAACAAAGAAAGGGCUUGCACCUAAUUAUGGUAAAAUCACCAUCAUUAAUUCCAGGAAAUAUAUCAGGGUUUUACUCUAAUUGUGGGAGUGUAAGUUUUACUCAAUCAAGAAAACUAUUAUCUUAUGGAUAGGGGAUGGCAGUACUGAAGAUUGAACCCUCCAUUUCUUUAUAUUACUGCAACAAUUUUCAUUACUCUGUUACAAUUACACAGAGAAAUCCGCAGUUGAGAUAACUAUUCAUUGCCAAUUAUAAUAUUUUGUCAUGUUCCCUAAAGAAGGGUGAACCUCCCUGCCGAGAUAAAAGCCAUCUUCCCUGGCCAUCCAGUAGCAUACGUUACCGUAGAACUUACGUCCACAGGCAACAGCUAUGAAUCUAUUGAAAACAUCAAAAACCGGUUUUCUCUCCCCACCAGAAGAAACAAUAGUAUUUUAUGGUUCCUUGAAGAUCCAUCCGAAGAUGCCAACUAUAUUCUUCUCCUACACGAAGAAAACGUUCGCCAAGAUCAGCACCUUUGCUCGAUUGGCAAUGAGUCUUCAAGGGGGUAUCGUUGUUGGGAAGGCCACUGGCCACAUAUAUAUCAUAUGAUUCAUAAGCAGCAAAUACAUGUAUUUUUUCAACAAGGAAAAGUGAUAUGAUGAGGAUUGAGUGAAGUCUUUUGAUGGUAGUAUAGUCCAUCUUGCCUUUUCUUGUUUCAAAUUAUGGUAUCUUCUGGCUUUUUUUUUUUUUUUUUUUUUUAUAGGAGUUAGUGAUCUGCAUAUAAUGGGAGAAAAAUAACAAAAAAAAAAAAACAUUAAUUGAAAGCAUGACUUGCACUUUUGAAACGUUUUCAGUAAGGUACACUAUUUAAUACAGACUUCAUUCCAAUAAGCCUACAUGAAUUGGGUGCUGUUAAUGCCAUAAUCCUUUUUUUUUGGUUCCAUAGUCAUAUUGCAUAAAAUACCAAAAUUACCCUUCUCAGGUCCAAAUGCAAUUUAGACUUAGGAGGGGCAAUUUUGUCAUUUUAACAUAAAAUUGCUGUGGAAAUAAACUAUGGACUGUGGCAUUAUCAUUUGCCACAUGAAUUUUUUUUUUUUUUUUUUUGUCUAGAUCUGAUAUUGUUAUUGCAGAAAUAUCUAAGGUAAACACAGAUGAAGUAUUCAUAAAGUUUCACAGUUCAACUCCAACAAGAUAUUAAUGUCAACUUAAUCCUUUACUUAUGAAAAUUUGAUCACCUAAAUUAAGAGUUUCGGAGUGCAAUUUUAGCACAUAAAUACAUUUAGCUGUAUUCUCCUAGAAGAGAAAAAAUAUAUAUAAAAAAUUUAUCUGCAAUUUGCCAAAGGGUCGGAUUAUGAUUGCUCAAGUUCUCAAUUUAAGCAAAAUCCAAAAUUCUGGAUGAAAAAUGAUUUGGGUGACAUUCUUACAAAUCAAAAUUUCCUUCACUGCAAUUUUCAUUUUCGUUAGAACGCCAACUCUUUGCGAAUAAAAAUCAAAUAACUUUAGGCCUAGUUCAAAGCCGCCUUGUUUUAUGGAUGGACCAAGUAAUUGGGCAGCAGAACAUUGCCUAAUAGGGCUCAAAUUUCUUCAAUUCAGCUACCCCCUGUGGAUCUUUCCUUGUAUAAUAUAGCAACAGGGCAAAUGGCAAAAAUAGUUAUUAAACUAUAUAACAUUUCUUGAUUUGGUUAUUAAAUUUUUAUUUGACUUUUCUUUUAAUAGUAUAAGUGAGAGGGUUCAAACCCGAAAUCUCUCACUUACACUUCCUCUUUCUGAACCAUCUAACUCAUCCCUCCCCCUAAUUGUUUAUUUAACUGAAAUGGAUAGUCAUCUAAUUAAAAUGUACUCCUACAUUUUUUGUAUACUAUUAGAGCAGAUGAUAAAAAUAAUUCUUAUUAUAUAGUGUUAGAAUAAAUGGCAAAAAUAGUCAUUAAACUGUUUAACAUUUCUUUAUUCUGAUUAUUAAACUUUUUACUUACGGUCAUUCAUCUAAUUAGAACGUACUCUUACCUUUUUAAGGCUAAUAAGUAUAAAUUUUUGUUAGAUAAGUGAUACUAAAAAGUUUGAUUUUUAUCAAUUGAGUGACAAAAAAAAUGUACUUUUUAUAUGUUGAGUGAUCACAUUAGCUAAAUAAAAAUUUUAGUAACUAAAACAUAAAGUUCAAUAAAUGGGUACUAAUUUAUAAAUUAUCAUAAAUGAGUUUAAAUAGUUUACACAAUUAUACCAAUCCAAAAAAAAGGGUAAGAUGGCAAAACCACCAAACCCAAAAUAAUAGAGAAAUCCAAAGUUGAAAGCUGUUUAUUGCCAAUUGUAAUAUUUUGUCAUAUUCCCUAAAGAAGGAUGAAAACCAUCUUCCCUGGCCAUCCAAUAGCAAACGUUACCAUAAAAGUCACCUCCACAGGCAAUAGCUAUGAAUCUUUUUUUUUUUUUUUUCCGCAACGAUAUAUUUGUAUAACUUACUCUAUCCUAAUCUAGGGGGAGAGGAGCCUAAGGAGGCUGUUGUACGGGCUAGUGGAUAUACAGAUCCAACUAGACUAAGAAAAUGCUAUGGCACAAGCCUUAGAUUUUUUUCGCUGCUGGUGAAAUUUGAAUCCUCACCAACAGCCCAUGGAAGGACUUAAGUCCCUCCUGGUGGCCACUGAGCCAUUGGCCUAGUGGUUAAUAGUUAUGAAUCUAUUGAAAACAUCAAAAAACAUGCAUGGUUUUCCCUCCCCACCAAAAGAAACAAUAGUAUUUUAGGCUUUCUCGAAGAUCCAUCCGAAGAUGCCAACUAUAUUCCUCUCCUACAUGAAGAAAACGUUCGCCAAGAUCAUCACCUUUGUUCGAUUGGCAAUGAGUCUUCAAAGGGAUAUAUCAUUGUUAGGAAGGCCACAGGCCACAUAAUAUAUAUCAUACGAUUCAAGAACAGCAAUUACAUGCAUUUUUUCAACAAGGGCAAGUGAUAUGGGGAGGAUUGAGUAAGGUUUUGUCCAUCUUGCCUGCCCUUUCUUGUUUCAAAUUAUGCUAUCUUCUAGCAUUUUUAAUUUGUAGGAGCUACUCAGCUGUAUAUAGACAUUAAUUGAAAGCAUGACUUACAGUUUUGAAAGGUUUACAGUUAGGUACACAAUUUAAUACAAACUUCAUAGCAAUAUAAUUUUGAAGCCUACAUGAAUUGGGAGCUAUUAAUGCCACAGCCCAUUUUUUUUAGUUCUACGACCAUUUUUGCAUAAAAUAUCAAAAUUACCCUUCUGAAGUCCAAAUGCAAUUUAGACUUAAGAGAGGCAAUUUUGUCAUUUUAACGCAAAAUGCCGUGGAAUUAAAAUACAUUUAGCUGUAUUCUCCCAGAAGAGGGGAAAAAAAA